UUGGGAAUUUGUUGCUUUAUACAA
This 24-nucleotide non-coding RNA is filed under the name Arabidopsis thaliana (thale cress). The record is from RNAcentral. Lineage: Eukaryota; Viridiplantae; Streptophyta; Magnoliopsida; Brassicales; Brassicaceae.